UACGUAGGCAGCAAGCGUUGUUCGGAAUUACUGGGCGUAAAGAGUGUGUAGGCGGUGCUCUAAGUUUGGUGUGAAAUCUCCCGGCUCAACUGGGAGGGUGCAUCGAAAACUGGGGUGCUCGAGGGUGGGAGAGGUAAGCGGAAUUCCUGGUGUAGCGGUGAAAUGCGUAGAUAUCAGGAAGAACACCCGUGGCGAAAGCGGCUCUCUGGAACGGUACUGACGCUGAGACGCGAAAGCGUGGGGAGCGAACAGG
Molecule: ribosomal RNA, 253 nt
Filed under: uncultured bacterium
Lineage: Bacteria
Description: partial 16S ribosomal RNA
Rfam family: Bacterial small subunit ribosomal RNA
Source: RNAcentral